GGUAUGCUUAGGGAGGAGCUUGCGUCACAUUAGUUAGUUGGUGGGGUAAAGGCCUACCAAGACUAUGAUGUGUAGCCGGGCUGAGAGGUUGAACGGCCACAUUGGGACUGAGACACGGCCCAAACUCCUACGGGAGGCAGCAGUAGGGAAUUUUCGGCAAUGGAGGAAACUCUGACCGAGCAACGCCGCGUGAACGAUGAAGUAUUUCGGUACGUAAAGUUCUUUUAUUAGGGAAGAAUAAAUGAUGGAAAAAUCAUUCUGACGGUACCUAAUGAAUAAGCCCCGGCUAACUAUGUGCCAGCAGCCGCGGUAAUACAUAGGGGGCAAGCGUUAUCCGGAAUUAUUGGGCGUAAAGGGUGCGUAGGCUGUUAAAUAAGUUUAUGGUCUAAGUGCNAUGCUCAACAUUGUGAUGCUAUAAAAACUGUUUAGCUAGAGUAAGAUAGAGGCAAGUGGAAUUCCAUGUGUAGUGGUAAAAUGCGUAAAUAUAUGGAGGAACACCAGUAGCGAAGGCGGCUUGCUGGGUCUUUACUGACGCUGAGGCACGAAAGCGUGGGGAGCAAACAGGAUUAGAUACCCUGGUAGUCCACGCCGUAAACGAUGAGUACUAAACGUUGGGUAAAACCAGUGUUGAAGUUAACACAUUAAGUACUCCGCCUGAGUAGUACGUACGCAAGUAUGAAACUUAAAGGAAUUGACGGGACUCCGCACAAGCGGUGGAUCAUGUUGUUUAAUUCGAAGGUACCCGAAAAACCUCACCAGGUCUUGACAUGCUUCUGCAAAGCUGUAGAAACACAGUGGANGUUAUCAGUUGCACAGGUGGUGCAUGGUUGUCGUCAGCUCGUGUCGUGAGAUGUUGGGUUAAGUCCCGCAACGAGCGCAACCCUUAUUGUUAGUUGCCAGCACGUAAUGGNGGGGACUUUA
RNAcentral lists this ribosomal RNA (921 nucleotides) under Candidatus Phytoplasma asteris-related phytoplasma. RNAcentral describes it as "bacterial SSU rRNA". It matches the Rfam family "Bacterial small subunit ribosomal RNA", at positions 212 to 1142 of the family's 1533-position model. The record is from RNAcentral. Lineage: Bacteria; Bacillati; Mycoplasmatota; Mollicutes; Acholeplasmatales; Acholeplasmataceae.